AUGAACGCUGGCGGCGUGCCUAAUACAUGCAAGUCGAGCGAACAGACGAGGAGCUUGCUCCUCUGACGUUAGCGGCGGACGGGUGAGUAACCCGUGGAUAACCUACCUAUAAGACUGGGAUAACUUUGGGAAACCGGAGCUAAUACCGGUAAAUAUAUUGAACCGCCUGGUUCAAUAGUGAAAGACGGUUUUGCUGUCACCUAUAGAUGGAUCCGCGCCGCAUUAGCUAGUUGGUAAGGUAACGGCUUACCAAGGCAACGAUGCGUAGCCGACCUGAGAGGGUGAUCGGCCACACUGGAACUGAGACACGGUCCAGACUCCUACGGGAGGCAGCAGUAGGGAAUCUUCCGCAAUGGGCGAAAGCCUGACGGAGCAACGCCGCGUGAGUGAUGAAGGUCUUCGGAUCGUAAAACUCUGUUAUUAGGGAAGAACAAAUGUGUAAGUAACUAUGCACGUCUUGACGGUACCUAAUCAGAAAGCCACGGCUAACUACGUG
RNAcentral lists this ribosomal RNA (496 nucleotides) under uncultured bacterium. RNAcentral describes it as "partial 16S ribosomal RNA". It matches the Rfam family "Bacterial small subunit ribosomal RNA", at positions 29 to 507 of the family's 1533-position model. The record is from RNAcentral.